This 545-nucleotide ribosomal RNA is filed under the name Minervarya asmati (Bangladeshi cricket frog). RNAcentral describes it as "partial large subunit ribosomal RNA". It matches the Rfam family "Bacterial large subunit ribosomal RNA", at positions 1837 to 2593 of the family's 2925-position model. Lineage: Eukaryota; Metazoa; Chordata; Amphibia; Anura; Dicroglossidae. The record is from RNAcentral.
GGGCUCUUAUAGAGGUCCAGCCUGCCCAGUGAUAUUUUUUAACGGCCGCGGUACUCUGACCGUGCGAAGGUAGCAUAAUCACUUGUUCUUUAAAUGAGGACUAGUAUCAACGGCAUCACGAGGAUUUUACUGUCUCCUUUUUCCUAUCGGUGAAACUGAUCUCCCCGUGAAGAAGCGGGGAUAAUUCUAUAAGACGAGAAGACCCCAUGGAGCUUUAAACCCAGAGACACCUCAAACCCCCCUUUCCAUAAAAGUUUUUAUGUGCUGUCCUCUGGUUUUAGGUUGGGGUGACCGCGGAGUAAAACUUAACCUCCACAACGCACGGAACUUCUUCCUUAUCUAAGAGCAACAUCUCAAAGAAUUAACAUAUUGACGUAAAAUGAUCCAAUAACUUAUUUUGAUCAACGAACCAAGUUACCCUGGGGAUAACAGCGCAAUCCAUUUCCAGAGCCCCUAUCGACAAAUGGGGUUACGACCUCGAUGUUGGAUCACGGGGUCCCAAUGGUGCAGCCGCUGCUAAUGGGGUGUUUUUUGAACAAUUAAAA